UACGUAGGGUGCGAGCGUUAAUCGGAAUUACUGGGCGUAAAGCGUGCGCAGGCGGUUUUGUAAGCCAGAUGUGAAAUCCCCGGGCUCAACCUGGGAAUGGCAGUGGAUACUGGCAAGCUAGAGUGCGGUAGAGGGUAGUGGAAUUCCCGGUGUAGCAGUGAAAUGCGUAGAGAUCGGGAGGAACACCAGUGGCGAAGGCGGCUACCUGGACCAGCACUGACACUGAAGCACGAAAGCGUGGGGAGCAAACAGG
RNAcentral lists this ribosomal RNA (253 nucleotides) under uncultured bacterium. Its description in RNAcentral is "partial 16S ribosomal RNA". It matches the Rfam family "Bacterial small subunit ribosomal RNA", at positions 524 to 776 of the family's 1533-position model. The record is from RNAcentral.